GGGCCCAUAGGGUAACUUGGUAUCCUUGCGCCUUUGGGUGGCGUUGAUCCCCGUUCAAAUCGGGGUGGGCCCA
Molecule: transfer RNA, 73 nt
Filed under: Thermoplasmatales archaeon SW_10_69_26
Lineage: Archaea; Methanobacteriati; Thermoplasmatota; Thermoplasmata; Thermoplasmatales
Description: tRNA-Pro
Source: RNAcentral